Molecule: ribosomal RNA, 274 nt
Filed under: uncultured bacterium
Lineage: Bacteria
Description: partial 16S ribosomal RNA
Rfam family: Bacterial small subunit ribosomal RNA
Source: RNAcentral
AGACGAACCGUACAAACGUUAUUCGGAAUCACUGGGCUUAAAGGGUGCGUAGGCGGCAUGGCAAGUUGGGUGUGAAAUCCCUCGGCUCAACCGAGGAAUAGCGCCCAAAACUGCUUUGCUUGAGGGAGAUAGAGGUGAGCGGAACUACGGGUGGAGCGGUGAAAUGCGUUGAUAUCCGUAGGAACACCGGUGGCGAAAGCGGCUUACUGGGUCUCUUCUGACGCUGAGGCACGAAAGCUAGGGUAGCGAACGGUAUUAGAAACCCCAGUAGUCC